CGAGGGGAGCGGACGGUCACGGGUACGCGUACGCGUACGUGAGGAAAGUCCGGGCUGCUUAGGGCAAGGAUAGCGGGUAACGCCCGCCGACGGCGACGUCAGGACAAGUGCAACAGAAAUAGACUGCCGGGCUUGCGAAAACCCGGUGAUGGUGGAAAGGUGAGGUAAAAGCUCACCCGCGGGGCGGUCAAACGUACCCGCGCUGUAAACUCUAUCCGCAGCAACGAUGGGGGCAUUGGGCGGCCCGUCCGCUCCCUUUUUCGGCUUGAGCUUUGCGGCGACGCUAAGCCUAGAUAGAUGACCGUCAGAACAGAACCCGGCUUAUGGCUCCCACUCGAAAU
Molecule: RNase P RNA, 341 nt
Filed under: Oscillospiraceae bacterium
Lineage: Bacteria; Bacillati; Bacillota; Clostridia; Eubacteriales; Oscillospiraceae
Description: RNase P RNA component class A
Rfam family: Bacterial RNase P class A
About the family: Ribonuclease P (RNase P) is a ubiquitous endoribonuclease, found in archaea, bacteria and eukarya as well as chloroplasts and mitochondria. Its best characterised activity is the generation of mature 5'-ends of tRNAs by cleaving the 5'-leader elements of precursor-tRNAs. Cellular RNase Ps are ribonucleoproteins.
Source: RNAcentral